RNAcentral lists this ribosomal RNA (494 nucleotides) under uncultured bacterium. RNAcentral describes it as "partial 16S ribosomal RNA". It matches the Rfam family "Bacterial small subunit ribosomal RNA", at positions 29 to 507 of the family's 1533-position model. The record is from RNAcentral.
ACGAACGCUGGCGGCGUGCCUAAUACCUGCAAGUAGAACGCUGAAGGAGGAGCUUGCUUCUCUGGAUGAGUUGCGAACGGGUGAGUAACGCGUAGGUAACCUGCCUGGUAGCGGGGGAUAACUAUUGGAAACGAUAGCUAAUACCGCAUAAGAGUAGAUGUCGCAUGACAUUUGCUUAAAAGGUGCAAUUGCAUCACUACCAGAUGGACCUGCGUUGUAUUAGCUAGUUGGUGAGGUAACGGCUCACCAAGGCAACGAUCCAUAGCCGACCUGAGAGGGUGAUCGGCCACACUGGGACUGAGACACGGCCCAGACUCCUACGGGAGGCAGCAGUAGGGAAUCUUCGGCAAUGGACGGAAGUCUGACCGAGCAACGCCGCGUGAGUGAAGAAGGUUUUCGGAUCGUAAAGCUCUGUUGUAAGAGAAGAACGAGUGUGAGAGUGGAAAGUUCACACUGUGACGGUAUCUUACCAGAAAGGGACGGCUAACUACGUG